UCCCUAUGGGGCGCACCAGGCGCGAAAACUUUACAAUGCUGGCAACAGCGAUAAGGGAACCUCGAGUGCCAGGUUACAAAUCUGGCUGUCGAGAUGCCUAAAAAGCAUUUCAUAGCAAGGGCCGGGCAAGACCGGUGCCAGCCGCCGCGGUAAUACA
Molecule: ribosomal RNA, 157 nt
Filed under: uncultured Methanosaeta sp.
Lineage: Archaea; Methanobacteriati; Methanobacteriota; Methanomicrobia; Methanotrichales; Methanotrichaceae
Description: partial 16S ribosomal RNA
Rfam family: Archaeal small subunit ribosomal RNA
Source: RNAcentral